Non-coding RNA from Elaeis guineensis (African oil palm), 587 nucleotides. The record is from RefSeq and is a predicted model, not a curated record. Lineage: Eukaryota; Viridiplantae; Streptophyta; Magnoliopsida; Arecales; Arecaceae.
AUCAUCGUUUCUUUGCAAAAUCACUGUCGAUCCUCCAAGAUUUCCCUUCGAGUUUUGUCUGGUUCUUACCGAAAAAGAUUGAGGUUUCCUUCUUUUCGGCAUUGACGGACCAAGGAUCCACUCUUAUUUUGUGGGCCAGGUGUUUUCGGCUGGACUUCCAGGCUGACCCACAAGCUGCGUUCUUUUGAUCAGCGGCCCAAUACGUAUGUUCUAUUUGAACUCCAUUAAUGUCAUUUUAUAUAUAUGGCCACUUGUGAUGCUGCACCACUGCCGACUACUGCAACCUCUGUUCUUCCACAAGAUUAAAGAGGGUGAUUCCACAGCCGACUACUGCAAGCUCCCUUCUUCCACAAGACUAAAGAGCGUCAUUCCACUGCCACCCUCCGUAUAUAUGUGCACCAAACACAAAGGUUACAUCAUUAACAAUGUCUUAAUUGCAACACGACAGUAACCCCACGAUAGUCACUCCAUUAUUUAAUUAAGCAUAAGAAGAUCUAAGAAAUGCCACCUUUUGUUAAAUAAUAUUUUCAAGGUAAAAAUGGUUUAGAUUCUCUUAAUUGAUCAUUUAUCACUCAACUUUGAAGAAA